RNAcentral lists this ribosomal RNA (468 nucleotides) under uncultured bacterium. RNAcentral describes it as "partial 16S ribosomal RNA". It matches the Rfam family "Bacterial small subunit ribosomal RNA", at positions 28 to 507 of the family's 1533-position model. The record is from RNAcentral.
GACGAACGCUGGCGGCGUGCUUAACACAUGCAAGUCGAACGGAAAGGCCCUGCUUUUGUGGGGUGCUCGAGUGGCGAACGGGUGAGUAACACGUGAGUAACCUGCCCUUGACUUUGGGAUAACUUCAGGAAACUGGGGCUAAUACCGGAUAGGAGCUCCUGCUGCAUGGUGGGGGUUGGAAAGUUUCGGCGGUUGGGGAUGGACUCGCGGCUUAUCAGCUUGUUGGUGGGGUAGUGGCUUACCAAGGCUUUGACGGGUAGCCGGCCUGAGAGGGUGACCGACCACAUUGGGACUGAGAUACGGCCCAGACUCCUACGGGAGGCAGCAGUGGGGAAUAUUGCACAAUGGGCGGAAGCCUGAUGCAGCAACGCAGCGUGCGGGAUGACGGCCUUCGGGUUGUAAACCGCUUUCGCCUGUGACGAAGCGUGAGUGACGGUAAUGGGUAAAGAAGCACCGGCUAACUACGUG